Poecilia reticulata (guppy) is the source of this 940-nucleotide non-coding RNA. The record is from RefSeq and is a predicted model, not a curated record. NCBI's taxonomy places the organism in Eukaryota, Metazoa, Chordata, Actinopteri, Cyprinodontiformes, Poeciliidae.
GAGAUUCCCAGCUCAGGUGGGAGAAUCUGUUCAGCGGUCAGUCGUUCACUCUAAACCUGUUCUUUAAAAGUGGCGACUAAACUGCUGAAGAAAAGACAAAGUAAGUCCUAUUUGCAGUUUUUCAUCAAGCUAUCAAGGGGAUAAAGCAAAAAUGUGCAAGUAAGAAAUUGUUCUGCUCAGAAAACACCCCAAAAACAUGGCGGUGGCAGCAUCAUGCUAAUCAUAUGUUAAAAUGGCCCAGUCAAAGUCCAGAAUCUAUAGCAAAAUUUGAAAAUCAACUUUUACAGAUCCUCUCCAGAGAUUUCUUCAUGUUGGUCUUUCAAUAAAAAAUAAAAUUCUUCGCAGUCAGCGGUUGUGAAACUCAGUGGAGCUCUGAUUGGCCGCCGGGAGCAUGUGACCGCGGUGUGCGAACACGAACCUCAACAUCAGCAGCUCCAAUCCAUGCGCACUCCCACAGCAUCUAUUUAUAUCUGGGGUGAGACAUGCUGAACGUUAUUACUGAGUAAUUAAAUCUGUGUGUUCAUGCAUGACUCCUGUGGCACAUGGAGUCAAACGUGCUGCUGUGACCCAUCAGCUGGGAAAAAAACUAAAAAUAAAUGUAAAUAGAAACAGAGGGUUAAGUGACGCAGCCGUGCCACCUCGUCUGGGGAUAAUAAAUCAGGAUUUUCCCUCUUUCGGCUCCUAAAAUAGCUCACAAACUCAGGAGGAGCGCAGUCAAACUGCAGAAACGGAGCUGGAGUUCAAAUGAAGCCGCACCAGAAUAAAAACAGGUUGCCAUGGCGACUCCAGGGUAGUACUCACCAGUUGCCAAGGCGAGUCUCCACGCGAGCGCAGCCUCCCUCCCACUGCGAUGUGAUGGAUUGUGUACUGGAAGCGGGGAUUUGUGUUGCCUUUUGUUGCUUUUUUUUACAUUGAAAAACUGACAUGCAGUGUUGCUCAU